GAUGAACGCUGGCGGCGUGCCUAAUACAUGCAAGUCGAGCGAACGGACGAGAAGCUUGCUUCUCUGAUGUUAGCGGAGGACGGGUGAGUAACACGUGGAUAACCUACCUAUAAGACUGGGAUAACUUCGGAAAACCGUAGCUAAUACCGGAUAAUCUUUUGAACCGCAUGGUGCAAAAGUGAAAGACGGUCUUGCUGUCACUUAUAGAUGCAUCCGCGCUGCAUUAGCUAGUAGGUACGGUAACGGCUUACCACGGCGACUAUGCAUAGCCGACCUGAGAGAGUGAUCGGCCACACUGGAGCUGAGCCACGGUCCAGACUCCUACGGGAGGCAGCAGUAGGGUAUCUUCGGCAGUAGGCGAGAGCCUUACGGAGCAGCGCCGCGUGAGUGAUGAAGGUCUUCGGUUCGUAAAGCUCUGUUUUUGGGGAUGAACAUCUGUCUCCUUUAACGUGGACAUCUUGACGGUACCUAAUCAGAAAGCCCCGGCUAACUACGUG
Molecule: ribosomal RNA, 497 nt
Filed under: uncultured bacterium
Lineage: Bacteria
Description: partial 16S ribosomal RNA
Rfam family: Bacterial small subunit ribosomal RNA
Source: RNAcentral